GACGAACGCUGGCGGCGUGCUUAACACAUGCAAGUCGAACGGAAGAGGGCUGCUUGUGUGGGGUUCUCGAGUGGCGAAGGGGUGAGUAACACGGGAGUAACCUUGCCUUGGCUGUGGGAUAACUGCAGGAAACUGGGGCUAAUACCGGAUAGGAGCGCCUGCUGCAUGGUGGUGGUUGGAAAGUAUGGGUGGUUGGGGGUGGACUCGCGGCUUAUCAGCUUGUUGGGGGGGGAGUGGCUUACCAAGGCAUUGACUGGUAGCCGGCCUGAGAGGGUGACCGGCCACAUUGGGACUGCGAUACGGCCCAGUCUCCUACGUGAGGCAGCAGUGGGGAAUAUUGUACAAUGGGGGGAAGUCUGAUGAAGCAACGCUGCGUGCGGGAUGACCGCCUUCGGGUUGUGAACCGCUUUAGCCUGUGACGAAGCGUGAGUGACGGUAAUAGGUAAAGAAGCACCGGCUAACUACGUG
This 468-nucleotide ribosomal RNA is filed under the name uncultured bacterium. RNAcentral describes it as "partial 16S ribosomal RNA". It matches the Rfam family "Bacterial small subunit ribosomal RNA", at positions 28 to 507 of the family's 1533-position model. The record is from RNAcentral.